This 828-nucleotide ribosomal RNA is filed under the name uncultured Gammaproteobacteria bacterium. RNAcentral's name for it is "bacterial SSU rRNA". It matches the Rfam family "Bacterial small subunit ribosomal RNA", at positions 60 to 936 of the family's 1533-position model. Lineage: Bacteria; Pseudomonadati; Pseudomonadota; Gammaproteobacteria. The record is from RNAcentral.
AGUCGAACGCAGUAGCAAUACUGAGUGGCAGACGGGUGAGUAUAAUGUGGGAAUCUGCCUUUUGGUUCGGAAUAACACGGGGAAACUUGUGCUAAUACCGGAUAAGCCUUCACAGGGAAAGUUUUAAUGCCAAAAGAUGAGCCCGCACUUGAUUAGCUAGUUGGUAAGGUAAUGGCUUACCAAGGCAACGAUCAAUAGCUGUUCUUAGAGGAAGACCAGCCACAUUGGGACUGAGACACGGCCCAAACUCCUACGGGAGGCAGCAGUGGGGAAUCUUGCACAAUGGGGGAAACCCUGAUGCAGCGAUGCCGCGUGAGUGAAGAAGGCCCUUGGGUUGUAAAACUCUUUCGUCGAGGAAGAAAAUGACUGUACUCGAAUAAGAAGCACCGGCUAACUCUGUGCCAGCAGCCGCGGUAAUACAGAGGGUGCGAGCGUUAAUCGGAAUUACUGGGCGUAAAGCGCGCGUAGGCGGUUUGUUAAGUCGGAUGUGAAAUCCCAGGGCUCAACCUUGGAAUGGCACCCGAUACUGGCAGGCUAGAGUACGGUAGAGGGGUGUGGAACUUCCUGUGUAGCGGUGAAAUGCGUAGAUAUAGGAAGGAACAUCAGUGGCGAAGGCGACACUCUGGACCGAUACUGACGCUGAGGUGCGAAAGCGUGGGGAGCAAACAGGAUUAGAUACCCUGGUAGUCCACGCCGUAAACGAUGUCUACUAGCCGUUGGGAAUUUUAUUUUUAGUGGCGCAGCUAACGCGAUAAGUAGACCGCCUGGGGAGUACGGCCGCAAGGUUAAAACUCAAAUGAAUUGACGGGGGCCCGCACAAGCGGUGGA